CCUGCUCUGUGAUUGGCUGUUGGUUUACCAUGGACUGUGUGAUGUCCUGGAACUUUCUCCAGACCUUGAACAUGGUUGAGAACAUGGUUUUCCAGGACCCUUGAAUCAUCUUCAUAAAGAUCUCAAGAACCGUUCAGUGUGUCUUCCAGUCAGUGAAUGUCUCUCAUCCAGGAUGAACGUGCCGCUCUCGCUCUGGUUCGUUCUGCUAAUGUCAACCUGCUGUGGAGGUGAUGAGUCGUCGACCACAGAUUAUUAUUAUUAUGAUGAUAAUCCCACAGCGACACCAGAUUAUGACUACAAUGCUACGUUCAACUAUUACUUUGCCAACUGUAGCGUUAGCGGUGACUGCGUCAUCAGUGCAGUUUCAGACAUCGACAACGCGGCUGCAGCCAUUGGUCAGUUGACCUCUCUGAUCCCACUAGGAUUGGCUGUUGCUCACAUGUGCAACUGAUGGAGUGGGCGGAGUCAGAGAUCACAGGACGCGGUGCUGACCGAGACGACUUCUCAGGUGACCCCGUCCUGCAGAGGACACGCCCACACAAACACAGACGGUCGCGGGGGCUGCUGUGCCAAUCUCAGCUACAUCAGGCGACAGGCGGGGUACACCCUGGACAGUUCGCCAGUCCAUCGCAGGGCCACACACACAGAGACAAACAACCAUUCACUCUCACACCUAUGGUCCAAUUUACCUAAUCCCUAAUUUUGGAAUGUGGGAGGAAGCCGGAGAAUUCCAACCGAGGAUCGAACCCGGGUGUUCUUGCUGCCUGGCAAGAGCGGCAACUACUACACCACCGUGUCUGAUACGUGUUUUUUGGCUGAUAUCGGAUCAGGACAUCCCUAAAAUAAAGUAGUCAACACAUCCAUUAUUA
Solea senegalensis (Senegalese sole) is the source of this 869-nucleotide long non-coding RNA. RefSeq lists it as uncharacterized. The record is from RefSeq and is a predicted model, not a curated record. The transcript has 6 exons. NCBI's taxonomy places the organism in Eukaryota, Metazoa, Chordata, Actinopteri, Pleuronectiformes, Soleidae.